Molecule: long non-coding RNA, 3034 nt
Organism: Mustela erminea (ermine)
Lineage: Eukaryota; Metazoa; Chordata; Mammalia; Carnivora; Mustelidae
Exons: 4
Source: RefSeq, a predicted model, not a curated record
UUGGGCCAAGCCUUGUGAGCCUCACUGGUUUCUGAGACCACACAGAACCAACUCUGCAUCCUGCCAAGAUACAGAUACUUCCCGAGAUGGGAAGUGCCUGUUGGGAAGUGAGAAAAGACACACAAUGUCCCAGACUGGGUUGUCCAGUGUUGCCUGCUGGGAAGCAGAGAACGUGGGUUCAAAUUUGGCCUGACUCUAGUUCUGUGCGUUGCUCCAUUUGCCCUGAAUUCAGAGGCUGGGGAAGACCAUCUUUGCUGGCCUGAUGGGUCCCAGGACCCUCAAAGGAGCCCACUGAGGCCACCUUCUCCAUCCUCACACCUGCCCUGCUGCCUCUACCCACCCUCCCAGCCUCCGCUCUGCGCUGCUGUCUCCUGCCCCUCGGGGUGGUCACGUCCUAACACCUGCUAUGCCAGGCACUGCUCUCCAUCUGCCUGUGCUCAGAGGUCCAGCCCCUCUGCUGUGAGGCUCCACCCAAGCUGCCCAAGCCACCUGCACACAGACAGUGGCAUUUGUGCAACCACUGUAAAUUGUCGCCCACCGUACACCUGUCCUCUGUGCACAAAGUUCAAGAUCAGCACGGGUCCCCCAUCCCUCCCUGGCAGCCUUCCCGUCUCUAUCAAGGAGGGCCACCAGAGCCAGCAGAGAUGCAGGGAGGCGAUCAGACAACAAUUCAACAAAGCGCUGCUGUGUGCUGUGCCUUAGGUGGCUCCUUCUAUCCACCAUGGGAGGCAGGUACGGCCAUCAGUGUCCCUUCACUUGAGUUCCUGUGAACCGGACCGACUGUUCAAGGGCUCCCACCAAGUGCAAGGUGAGCCAGCUGCGUGUUGCCAGCACCUGCGGGGCAGGGGGUGGAGGGGGAAGUGGGGGCGGUGGGCUAAUGUCUGCAGGUCACGGGCUUCUGCAGGAUCUGCACACCCCCGUGUCCCCAGAGCCACCCACAGGCCACCCAGGAUGAGAUGGGAGCAAGAGGCUGGGGUGGGGGUAAAGGUACAUUCGGGUCCUUCCAGAUGCUCACAGGGACUCAGCUUUCCAUGGGUAUUUCCACUGCCGUCCCUUAUGGUUCCAUAUGCUUCUGAAAUGUGGGGGCUGCAGGAGGAAGGGUAAGCCCCCCACGCGUGGCCUGCCCAGUGCGGUUUGGGUUCCCAAAGAGGGCUUGGCUUCCCCUCUCGCCGCAUCGGGAUGCCGACUGCUUAGAGCGUGAGCACCAUCCCUGGGCAAGAGCAGACCAAGGCUGUGCUGCAGAUGGCAUGACCAGCGCCAUGGGGACAGAGACAGGGGGAGGCUGAGAUCACAGGGGGGCUGGGGAGUGCAGGGGAUGCUACCAGGUCUGAUUCUCCAUGGGACAGAGUCACGGGUACAGUAGAGUAUGGCUGGGGACUGCGAGACAGGACUCUCUAGUGGGGAUACAGUGCCUAGCUUAGAGCUGUUCCCAGGGCUCCCCUCCCCUCCCCACCUCAGGUCUCUCCCCCAUCUCUCCCCCCACCCCUGCCUUACCCAGUCCAGGCGCUGCUCCCCACGCUCUGUCUGUCGCUGCCACUGUCUGACGCGCCUUUGAAAUCUUAUCUCUCAUCUUGUUCUCUGUUUCCUCCCUGUCCAGGCCUCAUCUGUCUCCUGCCUCCCACCCACCCCCCACCUGCUUCCCAUCUGUGGCCCCUCCCCCCUCCCUGCCCGCUGGCCACUGUCUCUGUCCUGGCCUGUCCUGUCAGCCUGGCUCCAGCUCCAGCCCUUCCCUAUGUCUCCAGGGGAGAUCUCAGGGUUGUGGGUGAGACCCUGCCUGUGCCUGCUGCCUUCUGCAUGUCCCUCGCCCCUGACCCCAGCCCCUUUCCUUAGGCUUCCUUCCCUCCACUGGCCCUGACUCAGCCCUCAACCUCUCAGGCUCUGUGGUCAGCUGCCGGAGCUCCCGGAGGGCUGGAUCCCAGGGCCCCUCUGCAGGCCUUCUGACCUUUUCAGCAAAGGCCACUCCUCCCUCCUUGAACUUGCCCAGCCCAGCCUUUGCCUGUAUCACAUGAGUCACAGAUGCCUGGGGUUCUGUCUCCAAUCUCUGGCCUCCUCUGGGGCAGGGACAACUCCCCCUGUAUUCUUUACAGAUGGGGAAACUGAGGAUUGGUGAGCAGGGGCACUAUCCCUGGUUCUUCCUAGGUCUGACUCCAUUGCAACCUUUAGGCCUCAGUGUGUGGGCCGCCCCUCAGGGAGGUCGUCCUGACUGCUUGCCAGAAGACGGCUUCCCACUACCGGUGCCCACAUACUGUCCACCCCAGAACCCUGGUUUCUUUUCUUUUGAGGCACCACCUUCCACUUUACAGGGAAAACAGGGGAUGUCCUCACCCUCCCAGGGACCAAGGGCACCUGACAUUGGGCCAACCUCGGUGUCCACAAUGCCUUGGGGGCCCCGACAGAGGCCUCCAGCUUCCUGCCCCUGUUUUGGGGGACCAGCUGCCUCCAGAAACUUCUGUUCUGUGGAAUCAAACCCGGAGUGUAGAGCCACACAGCUGCUUGCAUUCAGGUCCCAGCCCUACUGCUUAGCAGCUGAGUGCAGGCAGGCAAGUAAGUCCUCCUCUUCGGGCUGCGCAGUGCCUGCACCUGUAAAAUGCCGAAGAGGGUGAUGAGGGUGCCUGUCUUUGUGUGUUCUAAGAAUUACAUGAGUUAAUGUAUACAAGACAUCAUGCAGCAGGACCCAGCACAUAGUAAGUGAAUAGCCUCCUUGCUUCCAAGUGCCACAACAGCAGCAAAAAUGUAGCAGCAGAUCAUGUCCUUGAACUUGAAGAUAACGGUGCCGGGAUGUCAGUGGUGCCUUCGCCAUGACCCCAUCCCUCCUGAGUGCUUUACAGUCUCAGUCUCUUUGAGGGUCCUCUCAAUAGCCACUUGGAUGUGGGCUCUUGCUCCCAUCUUCCGACGAGCAACCUGGACACGGAGGGCAGAGACCCACCAGGUCACACCUCAAGAAGUCAAGAGGAGCACCUGCAGCCCCAUCGUGCUCUGCUAGGGAUGCUCAGGCCUCUGCGACCACGUGUACGUCAAACGCGGCUUCUGGGGA